AAUUAUCUAGAAUAGUUUAUCAAGCAUAAAACCGACAAUGUUAGAUAAAAGGGAAUCUAAUUGAAUAAUGGUGUUGAAAACCUACCCGUUAAGUGAGUAGGAAUCCUAAAGUUGUUCAUGUGAUUACCCACCUGCGAGAGCGGGAUUUUAUCAACGGUAAGCUAUACUAGAUUUUUU
RNAcentral lists this non-coding RNA (177 nucleotides) under Bacillota bacterium. Its description in RNAcentral is "6S RNA". It matches the Rfam family "6S / SsrS RNA". From Rfam's summary of the family: E. coli 6S RNA was the first non coding RNA to be sequenced, but its function was unknown until recently. It consists of 184 nucleotides that fold into an extended hairpin structure with a large single-stranded internal bulge. Lineage: Bacteria; Bacillati; Bacillota. The record is from RNAcentral.